Molecule: long non-coding RNA, 748 nt
Filed under: Sparus aurata (gilthead seabream)
Lineage: Eukaryota; Metazoa; Chordata; Actinopteri; Spariformes; Sparidae
Description: lncRNA (ENSSAUG00010002795.1)
Source: RNAcentral
UAUAAUUUACAGUAUUUUCUGUCCACCGCACGUGACGUCACAACUCAACCGCCUCCUCACUCCCUGUGCGUCUGUCAGCGCAGGUCCGUCAAGGUCUCACUCGGCCCUCUUCACUUCACUUCAAGGAUGCCUUAGGAGAGCUGCCAAACACACCCUGUAUCAUCAUAAUGGAUGAACGACAGUACAAGCUGGCAGUGGAUCAAGUUACUUUUAACAAGCACAUUAGCUGUCGUCUGGUGGAGUUCAGCUGUAUGUUCAGCCUCUUUUAUGUACUUAACAUAAAAUAUCUGAAGGAAGCAGCCCUGACACUAGAGUUCAUCCAGAGGUAUGUUUUGGCAAUGCCCAUUUUAUCGUGUACUGUACUGUACUGUACUUAAUGUUGCAAUACCAAGUGACAUGAUACAUUUUGUGUUUGCCACAGGAGCCUGCUGGGUAUCAACCCCGAAAGAGGGUCGAAGGCUGAAAAAAAAGGUGCAAAACAGUACAAUGUCCCCCCAAAACUGCUGCGAUUCCUAUCAGAUCUGAAUGACUUUAAGAAUCCUUGAAAGAUAUAAAGGUCAUUACACACUCUCCUUUGUUACUAACACACUCUCUCUCUCUUGUCUGUCUCACUCAAGUCUUUGGUCACAAGUCCAAAUCAAGUUUCAAGUCCCUUGAAAAUUAAAGCCUCGUUGUGAUGAGCCUUCCAUCAUCUGCUGCGAUCUGGUCUGCUAAGAAUACUGCACAGUUAUAUCUAAGAAAUUCAAAG